AUGUUUAAAUAUAUGCAAGGGGAACUGACACAAAAGAAGAUGGGUAUUCCUAAGAAGACUACGUUAUGAGAAGACUACUGUUUUUCAAACCAUUUGAAUAUUUGACGGAUUUGAGAGAUUUCUACUAUACUUCUUAUCCAUAAAUAAGGGCAUUAUUAGUAUACAAAUUAAUCAAGAAGACUAGUGUAAGAGGUAUUUGGUUGUAUAUCACCGUCAACAUAUGUCGCCUAAUGAGAGAUAGAUAGGACCCUCUUUGGUUGUUGGUUAAUAGGCAACUUUAGGUGACACUGAUUGACAAUUUAAACAAGUAUUUCUCAUUUGCAGCUGAGGAGUUACAUAAUAGAGAGAUAGCAUGGGUUGAGCGAAUACUAUAUUGGGGAAGAUGCAGCUGAGGAGUUACAUACUAUUUUUCAAAUUGAUGUAGAUGGUAUGUUACGUAUCUCAUGUCACAUUAGCCAUAUGUUCUUUGCUUGUAGCUUUGCACUGAAGUUCCUGUGCUGGAGUUCAACAUAAUAUUAGUUUCUAAUGACCCAUAUUGUGCUUGGAUUGAAGGUUCUUUGUAUAAAUGGAAUACUUGUGUACUAUUUUCUCAUAUAUAGGUAUCGUGUUGUAUCCAUUUGCCUUUUCGGCUGUAU
Molecule: long non-coding RNA, 635 nt
Filed under: Rosa chinensis
Lineage: Eukaryota; Viridiplantae; Streptophyta; Magnoliopsida; Rosales; Rosaceae
Description: sRNA RchiOBHm_Chr3g0491031
Source: RNAcentral